Molecule: non-coding RNA, 47 nt
Organism: Parastrongyloides trichosuri
Lineage: Eukaryota; Metazoa; Nematoda; Chromadorea; Rhabditida; Strongyloididae
Source: Rfam
CCAACGGCCCUCUUUAGGGCCAACAAAUGUACUUUUAUAAAUAUUAU